This 1553-nucleotide ribosomal RNA is filed under the name Salmonella enterica subsp. enterica. Its description in RNAcentral is "partial 23S ribosomal RNA". It matches the Rfam family "Bacterial large subunit ribosomal RNA", at positions 1292 to 2826 of the family's 2925-position model. Lineage: Bacteria; Pseudomonadati; Pseudomonadota; Gammaproteobacteria; Enterobacterales; Enterobacteriaceae. RNAcentral also lists the same sequence under 1 other name. The record is from RNAcentral.
GAAUGCUGACAUAAGUAACGAUAAAGCGGGUGAAAAGCCCGCUCGCCGGAAGACCAAGGGUUCCUGUCCAACGUUAAUCGGGGCAGGGUGAGUCGACCCCUAAGGCGAGGCCGAAAGGCGUAGUCGAUGGGAAACGGGUUAAUAUUCCCGUACUUGGUGUUACUGCGAAGGGGGGACGGAGAAGGCUAUGUUGGCCGGGCGACGGUUGUCCCGGUUUAAGCGUGUAGGUGUGUGUUCCAGGUAAAUCCGGUUCACUUUAACACUGAGGCGUGACGACGAGGCACUACGGUGCUGAAGCAACAAAUGCCCUGCUUCCAGGAAAAGCCUCUAAGCAUCAGGUAACAUCAAAUCGUACCCCAAACCGACACAGGUGGUCAGGUAGAGAAUACCAAGGCGCUUGAGAGAACUCGGGUGAAGGAACUAGGCAAAAUGGUGCCGUAACUUCGGGAGAAGGCACGCUGACACGUAGGUGAAGUGAUUUACUCAUGGAGCUGAAGUCAGUCGAAGAUACCAGCUGGCUGCAACUGUUUAUUAAAAACACAGCACUGUGCAAACACGAAAGUGGACGUAUACGGUGUGACGCCUGCCCGGUGCCGGAAGGUUAAUUGAUGGGGUCAGCGCAAGCGAAGCUCCUGAUCGAAGCCCCGGUAAACGGCGGCCGUAACUAUAACGGUCCUAAGGUAGCGAAAUUCCUUGUCGGGUAAGUUCCGACCUGCACGAAUGGCGUAAUGAUGGCCAGGCUGUCUCCACCCGAGACUCAGUGAAAUUGAACUCGCUGUGAAGAUGCAGUGUACCCGCGGCAAGACGGAAAGACCCCGUGAACCUUUACUAUAGCUUGACACUGAACAUUGAGCCUUGAUGUGUAGGAUAGGUGGGAGGCUUUGAAGUGUGGACGCCAGUCUGCAUGGAGCCGACCUUGAAAUACCACCCUUUAAUGUUUGAUGUUCUAACGUGGACCCGUUACCCGGGUUGCGGACAGUGUCUGGUGGGUAGUUUGACUGGGGCGGUCUCCUCCUAAAGAGUAACGGAGGAGCACGAAGGUUGGCUAAUCCUGGUCGGACAUCAGGAGGUUAGUGCAAUGGCAUAAGCCAGCUUGACUGCGAGCGUGACGGCGCGAGCAGGUGCGAAAGCAGGUCAUAGUGAUCCGGUGGUUCUGAAUGGAAGGGCCAUCGCUCAACGGAUAAAAGGUACUCCGGGGAUAACAGGCUGAUACCGCCCAAGAGUUCAUAUCGACGGCGGUGUUUGGCACCUCGAUGUCGGCUCAUCACAUCCUGGGGCUGAAGUAGGUCCCAAGGGUAUGGCUGUUCGCCAUUUAAAGUGGUACGCGAGCUGGGUUUAGAACGUCGUGAGACAGUUCGGUCCCUAUCUGCCGUGGGCGCUGGAGAACUGAGGGGGGCUGCUCCUAGUACGAGAGGACCGGAGUGGACGCAUCACUGGUGUUCGGGUUGUCAUGCCAAUGGCACUGCCCGGUAGCUAAAUGCGGAAGAGAUAAGUGCUGAAAGCAUCUAAGCACGAAACUUGCCCCGAGAUGAGUUCUCCCUGAGACUUAAAGU